This 821-nucleotide long non-coding RNA is filed under the name Equus caballus (horse). RNAcentral describes it as "lncRNA (ENSECAG00000043769.2)". The record is from RNAcentral. Lineage: Eukaryota; Metazoa; Chordata; Mammalia; Perissodactyla; Equidae.
CUGUCUCGUGUGGUUCCUCACUCACUCAGUCCUCUCAAUAACCCUCUGGAGAGGCAUCCAGUAUUGUCCCCUCUACUUCACAGAUGAGGAAACUGAGGCACAGAGAAAUUGAGUAACUUCCCCAAGGUUAUACGACCACACAUUUUCUUGGGCAAGUCUACUGAUCCAAGACAUCCACAGUUCUGGGGAAAACACUGGAAGGUCAUUUGUCAAGUGUCUUCUAGUUCUAACACUGAAAACACGUUUCUGCAGCAGUUGAGCCCCCACAGAACCCUUUAAGACGAUGAGAAGACUGAGAUUUGUCGAGGUCACGUGAUUGCUCUCAACCACCCAGCUCUGAAGAGGCUUGAGAGCUGUGCCUGUCAUCCCUGUCAUUGUCCGCCUGUGUGAUCUUGGGCAGGUUAUUUAAGCUUUCUGAGCCUCAGUUUCCUCAUCCACAAAAUGGUGCAAAGCGAUUUCUACUUUACAGACGCGGCUGACCUUAGGGACCGAGAUGGUAGCGGCUGGUUCCAGGCAGCAAGAUGGAGGAAGGGACAAGGAAGAGAGCAAAGCUACUCACCUGACACUGGACACUUCUGCUCACAUCCUGUUGGCCAGAACUUAGUCACAGGACCUGACCUAAACUACAAAGAAGCCUUGAAAAUUAGUCUUUUCUUUCCGGGUGAAAAUGUUCAGCCCCAGCUGCAAAUUCUAUUAUGUGGAAAAAAGAGAGACAGGAUCUUGAGGAACAACUAGAAGUUUCUACCAACACAAAAUCGUCUUUCUGGAUUUAGCCUAAAGGUUCAUGUGGAUAAAGAAAAGAUCCAUUUAUUCAUUCAUUC